RNAcentral lists this ribosomal RNA (1343 nucleotides) under uncultured bacterium. RNAcentral describes it as "16S ribosomal RNA". It matches the Rfam family "Bacterial small subunit ribosomal RNA", at positions 28 to 1378 of the family's 1533-position model. The record is from RNAcentral.
GACGAACGCUGGCGGCGUGCUUAACACAUGCAAGUCGAACGGAAAGGCCCUGCUUUUGUGGGGUGCUCGAGUGGCGAACGGGUGAGUAACACGUGAGUAACCUGCCCUUGACUUUGGGAUAACUUCAGGAAACUGGGGCUAAUACCGGAUAGGAGCUCCUGCUGCAUGGUGGGGGUUGGAAAGUUUCGGCGGUUGGGGAUGGACUCGCGGCUUAUCAGCUUGUUGGUGGGGUAGUGGCUUACCAAGGCUUUGACGGGUAGCCGGCCUGAGAGGGUGACCGGCCACAUUGGGACUGAGAUACGGCCCAGACUCCUACGGGAGGCAGCAGUGGGGAAUAUUGCACAAUGGGCGGAAGCCUGAUGCAGCAACGCCGCGUGCGGGAUGACGGCCUUCGGGUUGUAAACCGCUUUCGCCUGUGACGAAGCGUGAGUGACGGUAAUGGGUAAAGAAGCACCGGCUAACUACGUGCCAGCAGCCGCGGUGAUACGUAGGGUGCGAGCGUUGUCCGGAUUUAUUGGGCGUAAGGGGCUCGUAGGUGGUUGAUCGCGUCGGAAGUGUAAUCUUGGGGCUUAACCCUGAGCGUGCUUUCGAUACGGGUUGACUUGAGGAAGGUAGGGGAGAAUGGAAUUCCUGGUGGAGCGGUGGAAUGCGCAGAUAUCAGGAGGAACACCAGUGGCGAAGGCGGUUCUCUGGGCCUUUCCUGACGCUGAGGAGCGAAAGCGUGGGGAGCGAACAGGCUUAGAUACCUUGGUAGUCCACGCUGUAAACGGUGGGUACUAGGUGUGGGGUCCAUUCCACGGGUUCCGUGCCGUAGCUAACGCUUUAAGUACCCCGCCCGGGGAGUACGGCCGCAAGGCUAAAACUCAAAGGAAUUGACGGGGCCCCGCACAAGCGGCGGAGCAUGCGGAUUAAUUCGAUGCAACGCGUAGAACCUUACCUGGGUUUGACAUGGAUCGGGAGUGCUCAGAGAUGGGUGUGCCUCUUUUGGGGUCGGUUCACAGGUGGUGCAUGGCUGUCGUCAGCUCGUGUCGUGAGAUGUUGGGUUAAGUCCCGCAACGAGCGCAACCCUUGUUCACUGUUGCCAGCACGUUAUGGUGGGGACUCAGUGGAGACCGCCGGGGUCAACUCGGAGGAAGGUGGGGAUGACGUCAAGUCAUCAUGCCCCUUAUGUCCAGGGCUUCACGCAUGCUACAAUGGCUGGUACAGAGAGUGGCGAGCCUGUGAGGGUGAGCGAAUCUCGGAAAGCCGGUCUCAGUUCGGAUUGGGGUCUGCAACUCGACCUCAUGAAGUCGGAGUCGCUAGUAAUCGCAGAUCAGCAACGCUGCGGUGAAUACGUUCCCGGG